AUCGGGAAAAUGAGAAUAUCUCCAUUUUUGAGCUAUGACGGCUUAAGGGCAGAAGGGGAAAGGCGCAAACCGACCUAGGAGUAAGUAUAUAAGGAGUCAUAGGUGAGAGGCAAAGGGGAUGGGCGAUACAGAGCAAACUUAGCACUUAGAGCAUUUAGGCAACUUUCUGUUUUUAUUAUUUCGAGCUGCGACUCAACUAGGUUUUGCAGUCUUAGAUUGUUAGAACUAGGAAUCUCGCCGACAACUCUCAUAGCCGAGGCUUCUACCUUGUUGUAACGCUCAUACGCGAAUU
Molecule: long non-coding RNA, 292 nt
Filed under: Brassica napus (rape)
Lineage: Eukaryota; Viridiplantae; Streptophyta; Magnoliopsida; Brassicales; Brassicaceae
Description: long non-coding RNA (BNAP_LNC009444)
Source: RNAcentral